RNAcentral lists this ribosomal RNA (319 nucleotides) under uncultured bacterium. RNAcentral's name for it is "bacterial SSU rRNA". It matches the Rfam family "Bacterial small subunit ribosomal RNA", at positions 1190 to 1509 of the family's 1533-position model. The record is from RNAcentral.
UCAUCAUGGCCCUUACGGCAGGGCUACACACGUGCUACAAUGGUCGGUACAAAGGGUUGCUACACAGCGAUGUGAUGCUAAUCUCAAAAAGCCGAUCGUAGUCCGGAUUGGAGUCUGCAACUCGACUCCAUGAAGUCGGAAUCGCUAGUAAUCGCGGAUCAGAAUGCCGCGGUGAAUACGUUCCCGGGCCUUGUACACACCGCCCGUCACACCAUGGGAGUUUGUUGCACCAGAAGUAGGUAGUCUAACCGCAAGGAGGACGCUUACCACGGUGUGGCCGAUGACUGGGGUGAAGUCGUAACAAGGUAGCCGUAGGGAA